This 270-nucleotide ribosomal RNA is filed under the name Triticum aestivum (bread wheat). RNAcentral's name for it is "partial small subunit ribosomal RNA". The record is from RNAcentral. Lineage: Eukaryota; Viridiplantae; Streptophyta; Magnoliopsida; Poales; Poaceae.
AUGAAGGCCCUGUUUUGGAACAUUAGAGGGUUCUGCGCUAGGGGGCGCAGAGACCAACUGAAGGACUUAAUGCGCGCUGAAAGAAUUGAUUUUAUCGGGCUUGUUGAGACUCUUAAACCCUUCUUUUCUCCUUCUGAACUAUCGGCGAUUGUUGGGAUUGAUAGAUUUAGGUGGAAUUUCGUGGCCUCUGUUGGUCAGUCCGGCGGCUUUCUUCUGGGCACCAAUAAUGUCACCUUUGAUUUUGUGGCUUUCGACCAUGGUAUAUACUAG